UGGGGAAUAUUGCACAAUGGGGGGAACCCUGAUGCAGCAAUGCCGCGUGGGUGAAGAAGCACUCCGGUGCGUAAAGCCCUGUCAGCAGGGAAGAAAAUGACAGUACCUGACCAAGAAGCCCCGGCUAACUACGUGCCAGCAGCCGCGGUAAUACGUAGGGGGCAAGCGUUAUCCGGAUUUACUGGGUGUAAAGGGAGCGCAGGCGGUAUGGCAAGUCAGAUGUGAAAACCCAGGGCUCAACCCUGGGACUGCAUUUGAAACUGCCAUACUGGAGUGCCGGAGAGGUAAGUGGAAUUCCUAGUG
RNAcentral lists this ribosomal RNA (303 nucleotides) under uncultured bacterium. Its description in RNAcentral is "bacterial SSU rRNA". It matches the Rfam family "Bacterial small subunit ribosomal RNA", at positions 355 to 675 of the family's 1533-position model. The record is from RNAcentral.